RNAcentral lists this long non-coding RNA (1435 nucleotides) under Populus trichocarpa (black cottonwood). RNAcentral's name for it is "long non-coding RNA (PTRI_LNC001743)". The record is from RNAcentral. Lineage: Eukaryota; Viridiplantae; Streptophyta; Magnoliopsida; Malpighiales; Salicaceae.
GCGUGGAAGGUUUGAAGACAGAUUGUGCCGGCAACAAACUAACGGUGAAGGGGGAAGUGGACCCAGCAAAAAUCAAAGCCAGGCUUGAAGAGAAGACCAAGAGGAAAGUCGAGAUUAUCUCUCCCCAACCUAAGAAAGACGAUGGUGCCGCUGCCAAAGUUAUUUCCGUUUACAAGCUGGACAUGUAUUGUGAAGGCUGUGCCAAGGAAAUUAGACACGCCGUUAAACAUUUAGAAGGUGAUUUUUAUUUAUUUAUAGCAACUAACAUUUAGCAAUCUAAGAAUUAAUCUAUCUGAGUUUGAUUUUCCGGUUGCUAAGACGAUGUUUUUGUGGGUUUAUUCAGGCGUGGAAGGUUUGAAGACAGAUUGUGCCGGCAACAAACUAACGGUGACGGGGAAAGUGGACCCAGCAAAAAUCAAAGCCAGGCUUGAAGAGAAGACCAAGAGGAAAGUCGAGAUUAUCUCUCCCCAACCUAAGAAAGACGAUGGUGCCGCCGCCAAAGUUAUUUCCGUUUACAAGCUGGACAUGUAUUGUGAAGGCUGUGCCAAGGAAAUUAGACACGCCGUUAAACAUUUAGAAGGUGAUUUUUAUUUAUUUAUAGCAACUAACAUUUAGCAAUCUAAGAAUUAAUCUAUCUGAGUUUGAUUUUCCGGUUGCUAAGACGAUGUUUUUGUGGGUUUAUUCAGGCGUGGAAGGUUUGAAGACAGAUUGUGCCGGCAACAAACUAACGGUGACGGGGAAAGUGGACCCAGCAAAAAUCAAAGCCAGGCUUGAAGAGAAGACCAAGAGGACUUGGAAAGUCGAGAUUAUCUCUCCCCAACCUAAGAAAGACGAUGGUGCCGCUGCAAAAAUCAAAGCCAGGCUUGAAGAGAAGACCAAGAGGAAAGUCGAGAUUAUCUCUCCCCAACCUAAGAAAGACGAUGGUGCCGCUGCAAAAAUCAAAGCCAGGCUUGAAGAGAAGACCAAGAGGAAAGUCGAGAUUAUCUCUCCCCAACCUAAGAAAGACGAUGGUGCCGCUGCAAAAAUCAAAGCCAGGCUUGAAGAGAAGACCAAGAGGAAAGUCGAGAUUAUCUCUCCCCAACCUAAGAAAGACGAUGGUGCCGCUAAGAAACCCGAAAAGAAACCGGAGGGGAAUAAGGAAGAAGCGAAAAAACCACCUCCAGAGGUAAAUAAAUAAAUAAAUUACUGCCUACUAAGAUUUAAUCGUGAAUAUAGACGUUGAUUAUCCUUUUGUUUUCUAUUGUUAGUACUUUUUAACUAAUUUUUAAUAACUCUUGGUAGUUGCAGAGUACCGUCGUUUUGAAAAUCAGGCUGCACUGUGAAGGUUGCAUUUCAAAAAUAAAGAAAACCAUCUCCGAAAUCAAAGGUAAUUAGUUAAUUAUACAUUUGAUUAUUACAUCAAACUAACAUAUUAAAUCUGAAUAUUCAAAGUCGG